GUGACAAAUUGUUCAACGGCCGCGGUAUUCUGACCGUGCAAAGGUAGCGUAAUCACUUGUCUUUUAAAUAAAGACUGGUAUGAAAGGCACCACGAAGAUUCAACUGUCUCUCUUAUCUAGUCAGUGAAACUGAUCUCCCCGUGCAGAAGCGGGGAUGCACACACAAGACGAGAAGACCCCAUGGAGCUUAAAACACAAGCAACUGCUAUCCAAUAACCAUCGAAAGACUAAAUCUACAAUCAAGCAGAAAUGACCCAAUGUUUUCGGUUGGGGCGACCACGGAGAAUAAAACAUCCUCCGCGAGAUGGAGGUUACACCCUGAAACGAACGACAGUUCUAAACAUCAGAACAUCUGACCUUCUUGAUCCA
Molecule: ribosomal RNA, 369 nt
Filed under: Pipa pipa
Lineage: Eukaryota; Metazoa; Chordata; Amphibia; Anura; Pipidae
Description: partial 16S ribosomal RNA
Rfam family: Archaeal large subunit ribosomal RNA
Source: RNAcentral